GGUAACUUGCCGGAGUGGUUAACGGGACAGAUUCGAAAUCUGUUGGGCUUCGCCCGCGCAGGUUCGAAUCCUGCAGUUGUCG
RNAcentral lists this transfer RNA (82 nucleotides) under Yarrowia sp. B02. RNAcentral's name for it is "tRNA-Ser". It matches the Rfam family "tRNA". From Rfam's summary of the family: Transfer RNA (tRNA) molecules are approximately 80 nucleotides in length. Lineage: Eukaryota; Fungi; Ascomycota; Dipodascomycetes; Dipodascales. The record is from RNAcentral.